CCUACGGGUGGCAGCAGUGAGGAAUAUUGGUCAAUGGACGCGAGUCUGAACCAGUCAAGUAGCGUGAAGGAUGACUGCCCUAUGGGUUGUAAACUUCUUUUAUAUGGGAAUAAAAUGUUCCGCGUGAGUGUUUUCGUAUGUACCAUAUGAAUAAGGAUCGGCUAACUCCGUGCCAGCAGCGGCGGUAAUACGGGGGGUCCGAGCGUUAUCCGGAUUUAUUGGGUUUAAGGGGAGCGUAGGUGGAUUGUUAAGUCAGCGGUAAAAUUGCGGGGCUCACCCCCGCCGAGCCGUGGAAACUGGCAGACUUGAGUGGGCGAGAGGUAAGCGGAAUGCGCGGUGUAGCGGUGAAAUGCAUAGAUAUCGCGCAGAACUCCGAUUGCGAAGGCGGCGUACCGGCGCCAGACUGACGCUGAGGCACGAAAGCGUGGGGAUCGAACAGGAUUAGAUACCCCAGUAGUC
Molecule: ribosomal RNA, 459 nt
Filed under: uncultured bacterium
Lineage: Bacteria
Description: partial 16S ribosomal RNA
Rfam family: Bacterial small subunit ribosomal RNA
Source: RNAcentral